RNAcentral lists this non-coding RNA (197 nucleotides) under Symbiodinium sp. clade D. Lineage: Eukaryota; Dinophyceae; Suessiales; Symbiodiniaceae. The record is from RNAcentral.
AAAAUCAAAAAAAAAACAAAAAAAAGCUUAAAAAGAAAGGAAACAUACAGCCUGUCUUUUCAGUCUAUCUUUUUCUUUUUAUUAUCAUUAUCCCCCUUUUUUUUCUCCUUUUUACACACACAAGGAAAAAAAGAGUACGUGUGCAGAGUUUUACGUUGUGAAAUUUAUUUUUCUCACUUUUUCUCUCAUUUCAUGUU